Molecule: unclassified non-coding RNA, 253 nt
Filed under: uncultured Moraxellaceae bacterium
Lineage: Bacteria; Pseudomonadati; Pseudomonadota; Gammaproteobacteria; Moraxellales; Moraxellaceae
Description: contains 16S-23S intergenic spacer region
Rfam family: Bacterial small subunit ribosomal RNA
Source: RNAcentral
UACAGAGGCCUCAAGUGUUGUCCGGAUUUACUGGGCGUAAAGCGUGCGUAGGCGGCUUUUUAAGUCGGAUGUGAAAUCCCCGAGCUUAACUUGGGAAUUGCAUUCGAUACUGGGAAGCUAGAGUAUGGGAGAGGAUGGUAGAAUUCCAGGUGUAGCGGUGAAAUGCGUAGAGAUCUGGAGGAAUACCGAUGGCGAAGGCAGCCAUCUGGCCUAAUACUGACGCUGAGGUACGAAAGCAUGGGGAGCAAACAGG